UCCUGCUUAUCACAGGCAGUUUCCUUAGAGUUCCCACCAUUACGUGUUGGCAACUAAGGACGAGGGUUGCGCUCGUUGCGGGACUUAACCCAACAUCUCACGACACGAGCUGACGACAGCCAUGCAGCACCUGUGUGCUAGCCACCCGAGGUGAAAGAAUCCAUCUCUGGAAACUAAACUAGCCAUGUCAAGGCCUGGUAAGGUUCUUCGCGUUGCCUCGAAUUAAACCACAUGCUCCACCGCUUGUGCGGGUCCCCGUCAAUUUCUUUGAGUUUUAAUCUCGCGACCGUACUUCCCAGGCGGCACGUUUAACGCGUUGGCUACGCCACAAAAGGGGUCGAUUCCUUUUACAGCAAACGUGCACCGUUUACGGCGUGGACUAC
Molecule: unclassified non-coding RNA, 383 nt
Filed under: uncultured bacterium
Lineage: Bacteria
Description: contains 16S-23S intergenic spacer region
Source: RNAcentral